AACGAACGCUGGCGGCAGGCCUAACACAUGCAAGUCGAACGCCCCGCAAGGGGAGUGGCAGACGGGUGAGUAACGCGUGGGAACGUACCUUUCGGUUCGGAAUAACCCGGGGAAACUCGGGCUAAUACCGGAUACGUCCUGCCCCUUAAACAAGGGUGGGAGAAAGAUUUAUCGCCGAAAGAUCGGCCCGCGUCGGAUUAGCUAGUUGGUGAGGUAACGGCCCACCAAGGCGACGAUCCGUAGCUGGUCUGAGAGGAUGAUCAGCCACACUGGGACUGAGACACGGCCCAGACUCCUACGGGAGGCAGCAGUGGGGAAUCUUGCGCAAUGGGCGAAAGCCUGACGCAGCGACGCCGCGUGAGGGAUGAC
Molecule: ribosomal RNA, 369 nt
Filed under: uncultured bacterium
Lineage: Bacteria
Description: bacterial SSU rRNA
Rfam family: Bacterial small subunit ribosomal RNA
Source: RNAcentral